Molecule: ribosomal RNA, 460 nt
Filed under: uncultured bacterium
Lineage: Bacteria
Description: partial 16S ribosomal RNA
Rfam family: Bacterial small subunit ribosomal RNA
Source: RNAcentral
CCUACGGGAGGCUGCAGUGAGGAAUAUUGGUCAAUGGACGAGAGUCUGAACCAGCCAAGUAGCGUGAAGGAUGACUGCCCUAUGGGUUGUAAACUUCUUUUAUAAAGGAAUAAAACGAGGCACGUGUGCCUUUUUGCAUGUACUUUAUGAAUAAGGAUCGGCUAACUCCGUGCCAGCAGCCGCGGUAAUACGGAGGAUCCGAGCGUUAUCCGGAUUUAUUGGGUUUAAAGGGAGCGUAGAUGGGUUGUUAAGUCAGUUGUGAAAGUUUGCGGCUCAACCGUAAAAUUGCAAUUGAUACUGGCAGUCGUGAGUACAGUUGAGGUAGGCGGAAUUCGUGGUGUAGCGGUGAAAUGCUUAGAUAUCACGAAGAACCCCGAUUGCGAAGGCAGCUUACUAAACUGUAACUGACAUUGAUGCUCGAAAGUGUGGGUAUCAAACAGGAUUAGAUACCCGAGUAGUC